GAAACAGACCUCAGAUUUGCAGAUAUGUUGUUAGGAAUUUACUGAGAACCACUGGAGAAUCCAAGAGAUGAAAUGCAUAAGGAGGUUCUCUUAGAUCCAUGUUGGGAAGAAUUUUUUGAGAAUCAGAGGUGCAAAAACAGGUUGGAGAUACACCAUCCAAAUGCAAUGCUGGAAACUUGGCUAAGAAAAUGGCUUAUACCUGGUGUGUUGCAUGCCUACAACGAUCAAAGACCUCAUUGAAAAAAAAACCGGGAACACGUCCCAAGCCCAAGCUAUUGCUUUGCUCUGAAAGAGAUGUCCAAGGUCAAUGGCAGUGACUGACCUUGACCAUGAUGAUGGCGCACAGAGGCUGUGAAGUCAGAAGCGUUUGGAGUCCUGCGGUUUCCACGUGGUGAGUUUGGCCAAGCUGUCGACGCUGUGCCUUGAUUUCCUCCCGUGUUUUAGGAUGAAAUGAGGUAUCACAUGGAAAGUGUUUGGGAUCGCCGUCAAUGGCAGGUAAUGGAACACACGUCUGAUUCCUGUUCCCGCUCUGAUGGACGGAGCAGCAGGGAGGCAGCUUUACUGAGAGCUCCUGCCUUCAACAGCUUCACUGUGUGGUGGGGGAUGAAGGACACAGGAAACAAAAUCAGGAGGGCACACAGGGUGUAAGGCAGGUGUCACUGCUCACUGGCAUUCACAAGCCAAGCAGGUCACUUAAAAGACGUGGAGGCUGUAACCAGUCCAGGGGAGCCUGAGGCACAGAGGAGACAGGCCUGUCAAAAGGCAUUCCAACGCAAUGUUCAAAACACUCUCUGGGAGGGAGU
Sus scrofa (pig) is the source of this 803-nucleotide non-coding RNA. Lineage: Eukaryota; Metazoa; Chordata; Mammalia; Artiodactyla; Suidae. The record is from RefSeq and is a predicted model, not a curated record.